GGUCUGGGGAUGGGGGUUUUCCCGCGAGGGAUACACUUUCAUUGCUGGACCUUUCCUUCUGGGGAACUAUGCGUGCUCUUUACUGUAGUGCGUUAGGGAUCCAGAACUGUUACUUUGAAAAAAUUAGAGUGUUUAAAACAGGCAUUUUUGCUUGAAUACAUUAGCAUGGAAUAACGGAAUAGGACUUUUUGUCUCUAUUUUGUUGGUUUUUAGGGACAAGGUA
Molecule: ribosomal RNA, 223 nt
Filed under: uncultured fungus
Lineage: Eukaryota; Fungi
Description: partial small subunit ribosomal RNA
Rfam family: Eukaryotic small subunit ribosomal RNA
Source: RNAcentral